UACGUAGGGGGCAAGCGUUGUCCGGAUUUAUUGGGCGUAAAGAGCGUGUAGGCGGCCAGACAGGUCCGUUGUGAAAACUCGAGGCUCAACCUCGAGACGCCGAUGGAAACCGUCUGGCUAGAGUCCGGAAGAGGAGAGUGGAAUUCCUGGUGUAGCGGUGAAAUGCGCAGAUAUCAGGAGGAACACCGGUGGCGAAGGCGGGUCUCUGGGCCGAUACUGACGCUGAGGAGCGAAAGCGUGGGGAGCGAACAGG
This 253-nucleotide ribosomal RNA is filed under the name uncultured bacterium. RNAcentral's name for it is "partial 16S ribosomal RNA". It matches the Rfam family "Bacterial small subunit ribosomal RNA", at positions 524 to 776 of the family's 1533-position model. The record is from RNAcentral.